CAUUGCGCAAAAAAUACGUGUCUACUAUAUUUGAAUAUUUUAAAAUAGUGACUUCGAAUUUUGGCUAAAUUUUUCUCUAAUUUCGGCAAUUACGGUUACUUUUCUUUCCUUAUCAAUUUAAAACAACAAGCAGCAAAUUUUGUAUGAGUAUGACAAUGCAAUAAAGCAUUUUAAAAGCCAAGAUCUCCAACACAUAUUAGUUAUCGCUAACGUAGUUUCUCGAUAUCCAAAUAUAUAUUUUUAUUAUCAUUCAUCAUGUUUUCUCGAUUUAUAAUUGUACUGGCUUUACUGGCGACGUGUCUGUGUCACGUUUCUUGCCAGGCUUCAGAGAAUGAGGAUGCCUCCUCGGGUUCUGAGGAGUACAAUCGAAGUUUUGUUGACAAUGUUCGCUUAAUAAUUCAAGAUGCUAUUGCGCUCUCAAUAUCUGGUGCUUACCUUCCAUUUACCUUGCUUGGAGGAUUGUUCGUAUAAAAUGGGGAGAUAUUUGCUUAAUGUAGCAGUCAGUUUAUGAGUAUAAUAACUGUUGCUUUGAAAAUAAAUUACAAAUAAAAGCAUUUUCCAAACA
This is a long non-coding RNA of Parasteatoda tepidariorum (common house spider), 565 nucleotides long. RefSeq lists it as uncharacterized. Lineage: Eukaryota; Metazoa; Arthropoda; Arachnida; Araneae; Theridiidae. The record is from RefSeq and is a predicted model, not a curated record.